RNAcentral lists this ribosomal RNA (443 nucleotides) under uncultured bacterium. RNAcentral's name for it is "partial 16S ribosomal RNA". It matches the Rfam family "Bacterial small subunit ribosomal RNA", at positions 338 to 795 of the family's 1533-position model. The record is from RNAcentral.
CCUACGGGAGGCAGCAGUGGGGAAUAUUGGGCAAUGGGCGAAAGCCUGACCCAGCAACGCCGCGUGAAGGAAGAAGGCUUUCGGGUUGUAAACUUCUUUUGUCAGGGACGAAGCACGUGACGGUACCUGACGAAUAAGCCACGGCUAACUACGUGCCAGCAGCAGCGGUAAUACGUAGGCGGCAAGAGUUAUCCGGAUUUACUGGGUGUAAAGGGCGAGUAGGCGGGACUGCAAGUCAGAUGUGAAAACCACGGGCUCAACCUGUGGCCUGCAUUUGAAACUGUAGUUCUUGAGUACUGGAGAGGCAGACGGAAUUCCUGGUGUAGCGGGGAAAUGCGUAGAUAUUAGGAGGAACACCAGUUGCGAAGGCGGUCUACUGGACAGCAACUGACGCUGAGGCGCGAAAGCGUGGGUAGCAAACAGGAUUAGAUACCCUGGUAGUC